Molecule: long non-coding RNA, 3603 nt
Organism: Nomascus leucogenys (northern white-cheeked gibbon)
Lineage: Eukaryota; Metazoa; Chordata; Mammalia; Primates; Hylobatidae
Exons: 3
Source: RefSeq, a predicted model, not a curated record
GGUUAUUCAGGGGAACGCUUUCGAUUUUUAUUGUGGGUAGCCUGCACAAAGAGCCGUGUUAUUGUAUUUAAAAGAACCAUCUGUAGCAGAAACAAUGGCAUCAAAUUAUCUUUGAAUACCCACUGAAAAAACAUAAAGCUUUUUUUUUUAUUCUUCUUCUGUACGGUGGGGGGAUAGAGCAGUGUUAGGAUAACUGACUUUUUUGUUGUUCUCUGGGUGCAUUCUUCUCGCUCCCCCUCUCUCUCCCCCUCACCCUCUCUCUCUUCUCUCUCUCCCUCUCCCUCUCUCUCUCUCUCUCUUUUAAAAAAUCAGCCAUUUGGGGUUUUAAGCCAUAAACGAUUUUUCUUGUUGCAGGGGAUUGCAGUGGCAAAGCUAGGCUAGGUCUUGGAGGCUGGUGUAAGGCGAUGCGGGUGAAGGCAGGAGGCUGAUGGAAAGACUGGGGGGAAGAAAAGCCGAAAUGGAUUCACGGUGCCUUGGAUGAAGGACGAGAGGGGAACUGCAAGCUCCUUCAACUGGUUCUGUCCGGUGAGAAGUGAUCAAGCUUGGGCUGACAAGAGGCUCAGGGAGCCCUCACGUUCUUUCGCUUUUUUACCUGCCAAUCAAACUGCUACAAGACAACACCCUGAUCUGGCAUGGACAUCGCGGGUCCAAGCCUGUAGCCCCAAAUCGGAUAAUCUCUGCAGCUGAUAACAAGCAAAAGAGAAGCCAGGCAACAGCCAUAUUAAAGAAGAAAACAAUCAACUCUGAGAUCCAACUUAGAAAUAAUGUUUCAUUCAAGAUAAUGCUCGUGGUUUAGGAGGUUGUGACCUGGCUUGCGUCAUUUUAAGACUUCUAUCAUCUGUUUUCAAAACCCAAGGAGGACCUCAUUUUCUGUGUGAUAGUUCCUCAUGCUUUGCCAGCCACUGGGUCUUUAAGGAAGCUUGCCAAGAGUUCCCGGCUGGGAAGGACAGUUCGAGUUCAUCAUAGACAAUGAGCUGGCACCACAUUUUAAGUGACUCACCAACCUGGUUGCCCACUUCAAAAUGUCAAGAACCAUACUAUCUAAUUGAAAGAACUGUGUUUUAGCAAAGUGUAAUUGGAUCGCCUGGCAAGAUCAUCUCAAACUAUGUCUCUGACCUUGCGUUUCAGUGGCUGUUUUGAGCACAAGAGGAGAAAGGAAAUGAUUCCUGAAUUAUAUCUUGUUUUUAAAAAUUAAGAUUAAUUAAUACUUGGUUUUAUGUUCAUUCCAUUGUAGGAACUUAAUGAUUAUUACAAAACAGUCAAAAUAGGUCAUAGCAAAAUGAACAUUUAAGAUCAGGUUAAAACAUUCCUCUGAAAUUUUAGUAUUCACUUUUGAAGUGUCAAUUACUAUAUUUCUGUAAUUUCUCAUUUUUUUCUUGGCUUAGAGUCAAGAUGAAAAAUGAUAUUUGAAUCAAAGACAUUGCUUUGUUAUAUAGCCACUCUGUAAAAUGCAAAUCCACCCUCCCCUCACCAAUGCUUCACUAUUUGUGCACACACACACACACACACAGACAUACAGAGAACCAGCACCCAAAUGGAAGAGGAGGUCCUUUUGAGACUUCUAGGACCUGGAUCAUGUAAGCAGUAGAUGAGAAAAUGAAGUAAGAGGUAUAGAGCAAUAACAAUAAAAGUCAAUGCUUUCAUUUUACAAAAAAGUUAUUAUGUAGUACUCAGAUAUUUUUAAAAGCAAGUAUUAUUAUGACUAAAGUAUAUUAUACUUCUAAAUUAUUAUGAUUCUCAUCUAAUUUCAAGCCACACAUAGGAGCCAUUUGAAAGCAUUUUGUAUUACAACCUAUCAACAAAAAUCAACUAAUAGUUUUAUAAUGUGCGUAGGUUUACCCCAUGGGGAAUUAAAAUUUUUAUCUGCAAGUAUUUCUAGUGUUGUGAGACUUUAGGACAAGACAACAUUUGGUAUUAACAUAGAAGAAUAUUCUAUGGCUUUUUUAGCUUUAAAGUUCAUUACAAUAAAGUACAUGUGGUAUUUUUUUCUUCCUAGUGUUCUCUUAUAUGUAGGGUAUUUUCGGUUGUUGUUUUUAAUGUAUAUAUUAUUUUUAUUAAGUCAUUUGGUAAAAGAUAAGAUAUAUACUAAUAGACCCUUGCUUUUCUCCUAAUUUAAUUAUUUCAAGUCAAGCAAAAUUGGGCACUUUUCUUUCAGGAAAAAAAAAAAUAUUGAGCAUGAUUUUGAGGCAAAAAUGAUUGUUUACAGCAUAUUUUCUCUAAUAGAGUAACAUUUAUGAUGGAUCUUAUUUCAAAGUUGAUUAUUCUCAAAGAAAAGUAGAGAUACUAGAAUUUCCAAGUAAAUUGCAUUGUUUUAAAAAGUACUUUAAUGCAUCGUUCACAUUGUUGCCAGCUAUUGACCAAAAAAGUGUAGAAGAAAAAAGAAACAAAAAAAGUAGUAUCUGCUCCAAACGUCAAGUUUUGCAGUUUGAAAGACUUGUACAUGCUAAUUGUUUUUUUCUUUUUUGGAAAGAAGUAGUAAUUAAUACCAAAGGCAUAGACAAUUUAGGGCCAUAACCUCCCUUCCCCCCUCUCCACCUUUUUUUUUUUUUUUUUUUAACUUUAACCAUGAUAGGCAUCUCUGCAAGGUAGGUUUUAACAUAUUUUUUUCCUAAUUUUUUUCCCUCCAUUCAGUAAGAAGGAUAAGCUUUUAGAGUACCCAGUCACCGUGGUAACUGCCAAAAAAAUUCUCCUGAAGUUUGAAGAGGUCAGCUAGCAGGGUCAACAACCCUGGCCUCUCUCUGAGCUCGGUCUAGCAUGCCCCAGCCUGCGGUUGGAGUGUCAGGCCAGAUCUGACCCUGGGAGGUGGACCAUUCUGGCUCUGAUAUAAAUUUUUUGAGUCAGUUCAUGGCCUGGACUCUCCAGGUGGCCUCCAAAAUCGAUUUUGACCCCCUGACCCUGUCUCACGGAGGCAUAACAUCCACCCUAAGUAAGGAUUUAGCCAGGAAUGACAGCUUUCCACUGAGUGUUAUUGGGGACAGUAUAAACAGUUUGGAAAGCAAGUAAGGAGGUGUGAGUGCUAACAAUCAUUAAAAGCACAUUAAAAAACAAUUUUAAAAAAUCUUUAUUAGAAAAAGUUUUAAAUGCGUGUCUGUUACAGAAUUCCUGUGAUUUGUAGUUUUCUAGUCAGUUUUGAAUAUAAAUAAGUCACUUAUCUUUAUCUUUUUGCACACUUUGUUACAAAUAUGCAAAUAAGAUAGGCGUACUUGCUACAAAUAGGUACAGCAGGAAUGUAAUAUGUUCAGAAAAGGCAAACUGGUUAUUAAAACACAUUAACAGGUAAGGAGUUUCUAAUAUUCUAAAUACUAAAAUUUUGCAUAUAUAUUUUGAAGUGUUUAAAAUGGAAAAAUAAAGAACCUUUAAAAAACCCAACAGUGUGGAAUAAAGAUAAACUUGUUGCACUCAAGGUACAUUUCUACUUUGUAAAGCAAGAAGCCAAUACACUCAGUUGGAUAAAAAUGAGAGAAAAAUUGUAAAUAUAGAGAGUUACAUCUUAUAGAGCUAAAGAGGAAUAAAAAAAAUAGUGUCUCUGAAUAACUUUAUGUAUUUUCAACAGUUUAAGAUAUCAGAAACUUGGAAAAUAAAUAUGAUAUAUAUAAAUCAUCA